UUCUACAGCCAAAUUUCCCUGUAGCCCAAGACUGGUUACUUAUUGAAGCUAAGCAGGGCUGAGUCUGGUUUGUACCUGGAUGCGAGACCACAUGUAAAACUAGGUUGCUGUUUGAG
Molecule: ribosomal RNA, 116 nt
Filed under: Danio rerio (zebrafish)
Lineage: Eukaryota; Metazoa; Chordata; Actinopteri; Cypriniformes; Danionidae
Source: RNAcentral